UGAAAUAAUCAGACAUAAUGUGUUUUGUUUAUAGUAUACAGACUGAGAUUAAUAUAUUAUAUGUGUAUCUAACUUCCCCAAUUUUCAUUAGCGUUAUACCUGAACAAAAUGGCUUGUAAAUGUGGAUGUGGAUGUGUUUGUAAGGGCUGCGCUGGAACAACUGCCUGCUGUGGAAAGAAGUGUUGUGCUAAGUGCAAAUGUUAGACGAUGAGGUUAUUAAGGCUGAUACUGACAGAAGAUGGCCUGCAUGGAGUAUUAAACUAGUGUUAAAUUAAAAACUCUUACUAAUCUUAUCUUAAUCUACUAAAAUUAUAAUAAAUGACGUAAUUAUCUAAUGUAAUAUAUAAUUUCUAAUGUAAUAUAUAAUAUGAUAUAAUGAACUGAUUUUAGUUUAUCUUAAAUUUCAAA
Bolinopsis microptera is the source of this 408-nucleotide long non-coding RNA. RefSeq lists it as uncharacterized. Lineage: Eukaryota; Metazoa; Ctenophora; Tentaculata; Lobata; Bolinopsidae. The record is from RefSeq and is a predicted model, not a curated record. The transcript is spliced from 2 exons.